AGAGUUUGAUCAUGGCUCAGAACGAACGCUGGCGGCGUGCCUGAGACAUGCAAGUCGUGGGAGAAAGUCGGGGCAACCCGGCUAGUAAACCGGCGCACGGGUGAGUAACACGUGGGCAACCUGCCCUGAAGACCGGGAUAACCCGUCGAAAGACGGGCUAAUACCGGAUAAGACCCCGGGUAGUUCGCUAUCUGAGGUAAAAGGUGGCCUCCGCUCCUGCAAGCUAUCACUUUAGGAGGGGCCCGCGGCCUAUCAGCUAGUUGGUGAGGUAACGGCUCACCAAGGCUUAGACGGGUAGCUGGUCUGAGAGGAUGGUCAGCCACACUGGGACUGAGACACGGCCCAGAGUCCUACGGGAUGCAGCAGUCAGGAAUAUUGCGCAAUGGAGGAAACUCUGACGCAGCGACGCCGCGUGGGUGAUGAAGGCCUUCGGGUCGUAAAGCCCUGUCGGAGGGGAAGAAAAGCCUGUUGGCUAAUAUCCAGCGGGCCUUUGACGGUACCCUCAAAGGAAGCACCGGCUAACUCCGUGCCAGCAGCCGCGGUAAGACGGAGGGUGCAAGCGUUGUUCGGAUUGACUGGGCGUAAAGGGCGUGUAGGCGGUUGGUCAAGUCUGGUGUGAAAGCCCGGGGCUUAACCCCGGAAGUGCAUUGGAAACUAGCCAGCUAGAGCGCGAGAGAGGAGGGUGGAAUUCCUGGUGUAGCGGUGAAAUGCGUAGAUAUCAGGAGGAACACCGGCGGCGAAGGCGGCCCUUUGGCUCGUUGCUGACGCUGAAACGCGAAAGCGUGGGGAGCAAACAGGAUUAGAUACCCUAGUAGUCC
RNAcentral lists this ribosomal RNA (818 nucleotides) under uncultured bacterium. Its description in RNAcentral is "bacterial SSU rRNA". It matches the Rfam family "Bacterial small subunit ribosomal RNA", at positions 8 to 796 of the family's 1533-position model. The record is from RNAcentral.